GAUGAACGCUGGCGGCGUGCCUAAUACAUGCAAGUAGAACGCUGAAGCUUGGUGCUUGCACCGAGCGGAUGAGUUGCGAACGGGUGAGUAACGCGUAGGUAACCUGCCUCUUAGCGGGGGAUAACUAUUGGAAACGAUAGCUAAUACCGCAUAAAAGUCGAUAUCGCAUGAUAUUGAUUUGAAAGGUGCAAUUGCAUCACUAAGAGAUGGACCUGCGUUGUAUUAGCUAGUUGGUGAGGUAACGGCUCACCAAGGCAACGAUACAUAGCCGACCUGAGAGGGUGAUCGGCCACACUGGGACUGAGACACGGCCCAGACUCCUACGGGAGGGAGCAGUAGGGAAUCUUCGGCAAUGGGGGCAACCCUGACCGAGCAACGCCGCGUGAGUGAAGAAGGUUUUCGGAUCGUAAAGCUCUGUUGUAAGAGAAGAACGAGUGUGAGAGUGGAAAGUUCACACUGUGACGGUAACUUACCAGAAAGGGACGGCUAACUACGUG
RNAcentral lists this ribosomal RNA (497 nucleotides) under uncultured bacterium. RNAcentral describes it as "partial 16S ribosomal RNA". It matches the Rfam family "Bacterial small subunit ribosomal RNA", at positions 28 to 507 of the family's 1533-position model. The record is from RNAcentral.